GGAGCAACUGUCCCCAAAUCAACUCAGCAUAGCAUCCUUCUGAGGCUACUGCUGGCGUCUCUCUUGAGCUGCUGCUUGGACCGUGAGCCCCUCUGGGACAGGGAACUCUCUUCUCAUUCCUUUUGCAAUGUUAACUCUUUUUAGUUAAAAACGGCAUCUCAACCUUUGUACUAAUUGUGGAUCGUGAGUGUGACUGGAAAGAGUGACGAGAUCACAUGGUCCCUCCUCCCUGCAUGAGAGGGAGGAGUCUGGUCUUGUUCAGACACACCUCUGCAUGUCAUUCAGACCCGGGAACUGUGGGUUAAGUGCUUACACAUCUGGAUGUAUCUGAUUUUUCUUUAUGUCAAGAGAAAAAGAGAUACCAAAGCAGGACUGUGAAAGAUUUGGGGGCACAAGAGGAGAGCUGGUCUUGUGGAGGCAAGCAUGACUUGUCCCCAUAGCUAAGCAGGGUCUGCCCUGGUUGCAUCUGAAUGAGAGACUAGAAGGGUGAGCACUGCAAGAUAUUCCCCUCAGGGGAUGAAGCUGCUCUGGGAAGAGCAGAAGGUUUCACGUUCCCUCCCUGGCUUCUCCAAGAGAGGGCUGAGAGAGCUUCCUGCCUGCAACCUUGCAGAAGCCACUGCCAGUCUGUGAAGACAUUACUGAGCUAGAUAGAACAAUGGUCUGACUCAGUAUAUGGCAGUUCCUAUGUCUUUUCCUCUGUCUACCUGGAAGAAGGUCAAGCUGCACAAAGAGAAUGCAGGAUCCUGCAAGGAAACAGCUGACUGUGAUGAGGGCAUAAUCAAGAUGAAAGGUCUGGAUUCUUGAACCAAUGUCCAGGCGACCUGCAUGGAGGACUCCUGGAGGGGGUGCACUUUAUGAAGACUGUGGAAAAUGUGCUGGGCAAGAGCAUUGGUUGAUGCAGCAGAAGGGGGGGUAACCCUGGGAGAAAGUGGCUGUGCCAUCUUAGAAUCCACAAAAUCAAGGGGAGGAGACAUUUCAAGGAAACCAGACGUGCACCUUGGAUUUCAGGCAAGCUGACUUGAAUAAACUCAGAGGAGCACCAGAUAGGAUUCCAAAACUAGACGUCUUAAAGGGGAACCUUGGCAUAGACUCUGAGGGCUUUGCCGAUGAGGAGAAACCUGAUGCAAUCCCCAAAAGGGCUUUGGAUAAGACACCCUUGGGUCACAUCAUGGAGGAACCCAAGCCAUCAACCUUCGGGGAUCUCCCCACAUCUCUGCUCCCUCUGAGAGACCUGUCCCCCCACAGAAGGAUUCACUUGGGGGGCAAGGACAACAUAUGGCCAGCAGAGAGGCACCACCAUCCCUGUCAGAUCCCCAAGAGUGACAAUGCUACUGGGCCCAGGCCGAUCUGCAGUAAUGGAAAAGAAGCACCCAACUGGGAGCAUAGCAUCUCCCUCAGGAGAGACCGACUGGCCUGAUCUCCACUUGGCCUAGCAGCCUUCCCUGAGUUGGGCCUGUGCCAAAGUAAAAGUGCCCAGGAGAAGGAGUGGGAAUCGGAAAAGAAUGAAGGCAAAGCAAGCAAUGGAGGAUCCUGAUAGCUGUGUCUCCUGAUCCAUACUACAGUCCUGUAAGUGUUGAAGAACCUCUUGAAUUUGUCUUCCCAGAAGAUGGAGAGGUAAGUCUGACUCCUACCACCUCCAGAGGCCAGACUGUCAGAGAGCUACACAGGAAAAGACAGCAGUCCACAGAUAUCAAAGCAAAGAAGAGCUUCCCUUUCAACAUCUAACAAAGGAUCCCGUCCUGCUUCUGAUGCACUGUUAUCAACGCGAGUGCUGAGGGUUGCCUCGGCCGGGUAAAUAUGCAUUGACACAAUGACAAAUCUCUCCGGUGGCUGAGGGGAAUGGUGGGCCCUAGAGAAGGCAGGAAGAGGCUGAGGAGAGCAACCCCACAGCAGAUGCCCAUUUCCUUUCUGGCUAGGUUUGCAAAAGCCUCGUGUACACUCAAGGUCAUAAGGCUUUGGCAAAGAGGGGGCAUAGUUUCCCGGGAAACGACUUCACCCCAGAAGUGGAAUCCCACACCUUAGUUUACAGAGCUCCCUUCAAACUAGUUACUGAAGUUGCAGCCCAGGUUUGCACCCGUUCCAUCUCUUGAUUCCGAGUCUGGGUGCCCGACCUCCCCUCCUUCCCCUGGCUCUGCAUCCAGUGUGGGGUGCAAAUGUCACAUUCAGUCCUGGCAGGGUGCAAGAAACAAGGCUGGGCCCCACAGUGAACCAGUCUGUAGGGCCAAGCGAGGGGGCAGAGGGUGCGCUAGUGAAAGCGAUCCCCGCACUCUCUUGGCCUUCUGCAGGGACACCUCGGCAUCCACUCACCCCCCUCAGGUGACAGUGUGGGAUUAGCCGGUCGCCAUUUGGGGCCGAGUAGGAAUUUUCCCCAUCCACCCGGAUUGGCUUGGAGGUGGCUGGUUUUUUGCCUACUCUGCACUGUUGCACUGGAAGGGAUUUCUGAUCUGGCGGAUGUUAGGAGUGGUGCCGCUAAAUAGUGUAGCCCCUUGGUCACCAUGGCAGGUCCGGGGGGGGGGGAUGCAGUGCCCCACCCCAUUGGUGGCAGGUGCGAUUUCCCCCAGCUGCACGGCAGUUCUCUGCUAAAAUGAGUCAAUAAAGUGAUGGCCGUAGUUUCAACCCA
Hemicordylus capensis (graceful crag lizard) is the source of this 2620-nucleotide long non-coding RNA. RefSeq lists it as uncharacterized. The record is from RefSeq and is a predicted model, not a curated record. NCBI's taxonomy places the organism in Eukaryota, Metazoa, Chordata, Lepidosauria, Squamata, Cordylidae. The transcript is spliced from 4 exons.